This 267-nucleotide ribosomal RNA is filed under the name uncultured bacterium. RNAcentral's name for it is "partial 16S ribosomal RNA". It matches the Rfam family "Bacterial small subunit ribosomal RNA", at positions 1236 to 1500 of the family's 1533-position model. The record is from RNAcentral.
UAAACAGAGGGAAGCGAGCCUGCGAGGGGGAGCGAAUCCCAAAAAUAACGUCCCAGUUCGGAUUGUAGUCUGCAACCCGACUACAUGAAGCUGGAAUCGCUAGUAAUCGCAGAUCAGAAUGCUGCGGUGAAUACGUUCCCGGGUCUUGUACACACCGCCCGUCACACCAUGGGAGUCGGAAAUGCCCGAAGUCGGUGACCCAACCUAUUCUGGAGGGAGCCGUCGAAGGCGGGACGGAUGACUGGGGUGAAGUCGUAACAAGGUAAC